GCACAAUUUCAGAGAAGGCAAUAGAUUUGCUGAUUUUCUAACUAAUCAAGUUUUCUGUAUUGCUGGUGCUAAUCAUAUUAUAUAUAACUCAAGACAUUUUUUUAACAACUAAGCCUAUUUUACUAUUUUGGAUAUAGAUAUAGCCCAAGUUCUAAUUUAAAAAUUAGAAACAUCAAAAAUAGGGAUUUCAGGGUUACAGAUUGUGUUCCAUAUAAAUUAUUACAGGAGGGACAAGGCAAAAAGAGAAACAGUUGAGAGAUAGACAAAUCUUCCAUGUAGAUGACUGACUUACCAUGGCCUUUAUUCUUUCACAAUGGUUUCACCGUUUAGGUCAUUCUGUAGAAAAAAGAUAUCGGAGAUGGUUAAUAUUUAAAAAAAAAAAAGCGAGUCUUGAAACAUUUAUUACUUAUCUAAUAAGUUUGGGGACAUUAAAUCAAAAAGAAGCUUACCAGUCACAUUUUUUAGCUGAAGAAUUUUUUAACGAAAUCAGAACUCAUGGCAUUUGUUAGAGGUUUUAAAUUUCUAAGGUGGAUUCUAUCCAAGCUUAGAUAUUUGUAUUGUGUUUCUCCGAUCUGAUGUUAGAAUCCCGAUUUCAUUCUUCGAUAUCGCCAUUAUUAUCUUGGCAAGCUUGAGAAUUCACAAGAAAGAAGAAGAGGCGACAUUAUCGAUACAAGGGCUAGAUGUUUC
This 687-nucleotide long non-coding RNA is filed under the name Solanum tuberosum (potato). Its description in RNAcentral is "long non-coding RNA (STUB_LNC007453)". The record is from RNAcentral. Lineage: Eukaryota; Viridiplantae; Streptophyta; Magnoliopsida; Solanales; Solanaceae.